Molecule: ribosomal RNA, 447 nt
Filed under: uncultured bacterium
Lineage: Bacteria
Description: bacterial SSU rRNA
Rfam family: Bacterial small subunit ribosomal RNA
Source: RNAcentral
UGGGGAAUCUUGGACAAUGGGCGCAAGCCUGAUCCAGCCAUGCCGCGUGGAUGAUGAAGGCCUUAGGGUUGUAAAAUCCUUUCGUGGGGGACGAUAAUGACGGUACCCCAAGAAGAAGCUCCGGCUAACUUCGUGCCAGCAGCCGCGGUAAUACGAAGGGGGCUAGCGUUGUUCGGAUUUACUGGGCGUAAAGCGCGUGUAGGCGGGUCGUUAAGUUGGGGGUGAAAUCCCGAGGCUCAACCUCGGAACUGCCUUCAAAACUGGCGACCUGGACUCAAGCAGAGGCAAGUGGAAUUGCGAGUGUAGAGGUGAAAUUCGUAGAUAUUCGCAGGAACACCUGAGGUGAAGACGGGUUGCUGGGCUGACACUGACGCUGAGGCGCGAAAGCCAGGGGAGCAAACGGGAUUAGAUACCCACGUAGUCCCUGAGCGGGCUGGCAAGGCGCAU